Molecule: ribosomal RNA, 1651 nt
Filed under: human gut metagenome
Description: bacterial LSU rRNA
Rfam family: Bacterial large subunit ribosomal RNA
Source: RNAcentral
UCCAAUCGAACUCGGAGAUAGCUGGUUCUCCCCGAAAUAGCUUUAGGGCUAGCGUCGAGAGAGAGUCAUGUGAAGGUAGAGCACUGAAUAUGUGAUGGCCCCAUCUCGGGGUACUGAGCAUAAUCAAACUGCGAAUGUCACGAUAACAUGCUCGGCAGUCAGACAGCGGGUGAUAAGGUCCGUUGUCAAGAGGGAAACAGCCCAGACCAUCAGCUAAGGUCCCAAAAUGUAUGCUAAGUGGAAAAGGAUGUGGAGAUGUACAGACAACUAGGAGGUUGGCUCAGAAGCAGCCAUCCUUUAAAGAGUGCGUAACAGCUCACUAGUCGAAUGACUCUGCGCCGAUAAUUUACCGGGGCUAAGCAUACUACCGAAGCUAUGGAUCCCAAGGGAUGGUAGGGGAGCGUUCCAUGAACGGAGAAGUACGACCGAAAGGACGUGUGGAGAUCAUGGAAGAGAGAAUGCCGGUGUGAGUAGCGGAACGUGGGUGAGAAUCCCACGCACCGAAAACCCAAGGUUUCCAGAGGAAGGUUCGUCCGCUCUGGGUAAGUCGGGACCUAAGGCGAGGCCGAAAGGCGUAGUCGAUGGACAACAGGUAGAGAUUCCUGUACCCGUAUAUAUGUGAAGGAAUGACGGAGAGAGGAAGCUGCAGCCAGCGGCUGGAAGAGCUGGUGCAAGCGAGAUAUCGGGAUGGCAGGCAAAUCCACCAUCCGAAACGAGAAGGCGUGAAGCGUACGGAAAGCUACGGCGAGUACGGAAGGCAGUGGAGGAACUUCCAAGAAAAGUUUCUAACGUUAAGUAUAUAUGGCCCGUACCGAAAAUGGACACACAUGGGUGAGGAGAGAAUCCUAAGGUGAGCGAGAGAACUAUAGCUAAGGAACUCUGCAAAAUGACUCCGUAACUUAGGGAGAAGGAGUGCUCAUAGAGAUAUGAGCCGCAGUGAAACGGCCCAAGCGACUGUUUACCAAAAACACAGCUCUCUGCUAAGCCGCAAGGCGAAGUAUAGGGGGUGACGCCUGCCCGGUGCUGGAAGGUUAAGGGGAGGGGUUAACGCAAGUGAAGCCCUGAACUGAAGCCCCAGUAAACGGCGGCCGUAACUAUAACGGUCCUAAGGUAGCGAAAUUCCUUGUCAGGUAAGUUCUGACCCGCACGAAAGGCGUAACGAUUUGGGCGCUGUCUCAGCUGUAGACUCGGUGAAGUCUUAGUACCUGUGAAGAUGCAGGUUACCCGCGACUAGACGGAAAGACCCCAUGGAGCUUCACUGCAGGUUGAUAUUGGGAUUUGAUGCAGCAUGUACAGGAUAGGUAGGAGGCAAAGAGAUGGAUACGCCAGUAUUCAAGGAGCCGCUGUUGGGAUACUACCCCUGUUGUAUUGGAUUUCUAACCGGACGACGUAGAGCCGUUGACGGGACAGUGUCAGUCGGGCAGUUUGACUGGGGCGGUCGCCUCCCAAAGAGUAACGGAGGCGCCCAAAGAUACCCUCAGCUUGGAUGGAAACCAAGCGCAGAGUGCAAAGGCAAAAGGGUGUUUGACUGCGAGACCCACAAGUCGAGCAGGGACGAAAGUCGGGCUUAGUGAUCCGGCGGUGCUGAAUGGAAAGGCCGUCGCUCAACGGAUAAAAGCUACCCUGGGGAUAACAGGCUGAUCUCCCCCAA